RNAcentral lists this ribosomal RNA (254 nucleotides) under uncultured bacterium. Its description in RNAcentral is "partial 16S ribosomal RNA". It matches the Rfam family "Bacterial small subunit ribosomal RNA", at positions 524 to 776 of the family's 1533-position model. The record is from RNAcentral.
UACGGGGGGGGCAAGCGUUGUUCGGAAUUACUGGGCGUAAAGGGCUUGUAGGUGGCCAACUAAGUCAAACGUGAAAUCCCUCAGCUUAACCGGGGAACUGCGUCUGAUACUGGAUGGCUUGAGUUUGGGAGAGGGACGCGGAAUUCCAGGUGUAGCGGUGAAAUGCGUAGAUAUCUGGAGGAACACCGGUGGCGAAGGCGGCGUCCUGGACCAAUACUGACACUGAGUGAGCGAAAGCCAGGGGAGCAAACGGG